AUUGAACGCUGGCGGCAUGCCUUACACAUGCAAGUCGAACGGCAUCGCGGGAAAGCUUGCUUUCCUGGCGGCGAGUGGCGAACGGGUGAGUAACACAUCGGAACGUACCGGCUAGUGGGGGAUAACCCGUCGAAAGACGGGCUAAUACCGCAUACGCUCUUCGGAGGAAAGCAGGGGACCUUUGGGCCUUGCGCUAGCCGAGCGGCCGAUGUCCGAUUAGCUAGUUGGUGGGGUAAAGGCCUACCAAGGCGACGAUCGGUAGCGGGUCUGAGAGGACGAUCCGCCACACUGGGACUGAGACACGGCCCAGACUCCUACGGGAGGCAGCAGUGGGGAAUCUUGGACAAUGGGGGCAACCCUGAUCCAGCAAUGCCGCGUGGGUGAAGAAGGCCUUCGGAUUGUAAAGCCCUUUCGGCAGGGAAGAAAUCGGCGGGGCGAAUAACCCUGCUGGAUGACGGUACCUGCAGAAGAAGCACCGGCUAACUACGUG
This 490-nucleotide ribosomal RNA is filed under the name uncultured bacterium. RNAcentral describes it as "partial 16S ribosomal RNA". It matches the Rfam family "Bacterial small subunit ribosomal RNA", at positions 29 to 507 of the family's 1533-position model. The record is from RNAcentral.